RNAcentral lists this ribosomal RNA (395 nucleotides) under Bos gaurus (gaur). RNAcentral's name for it is "partial small subunit ribosomal RNA". It matches the Rfam family "Bacterial small subunit ribosomal RNA", at positions 875 to 1405 of the family's 1533-position model. The record is from RNAcentral. Lineage: Eukaryota; Metazoa; Chordata; Mammalia; Artiodactyla; Bovidae.
AUUGUAUAAACAAAAUUAUUUUGCCAGAGUACUACCAGCAACAGCUUAAAACUCAAAGGACUUGGCGGUGCUUUAUAUCCUUCUAGAGGAGCCUGUUCUGUAAUCGAUAAACCCCGAUAAACCUCACCAGUUCUUGCUAAUACAGUCUAUAUACCGCCAUCUUCAGCAAACCCUAAAAAGGAAGAAAAGUAAGCAUAAUCAUAAUACAUAAAAACGUUAGGUCAAGGUGUAACCUAUGAAAUGGGAAGAAAUGGGCUACAUUCUCUACACUAAGAGAACCAAACACGAAAGCUAUUAUGAAAUUAAUAACCAAAGGAGGAUUUAGCAGUAAACUAAGAAUAGAGUGCUUAGUUGAAUUAGGCCAUGAAGCACGCACACACCGCCCGUUCACCCUC